RNAcentral lists this ribosomal RNA (543 nucleotides) under uncultured archaeon. Its description in RNAcentral is "bacterial SSU rRNA". It matches the Rfam family "Archaeal small subunit ribosomal RNA", at positions 323 to 869 of the family's 1478-position model. The record is from RNAcentral.
UUACGGGGUGCAGCAGGCGCGAAACCUCUGCAAUAGGCGAAAGCCUGACAGGGUUAUUCUGAGUGACUUUCGCUAAGAAAGUCUUUUGACGUCUCUAAAAAUGGUGUAGAAUAAGGGGUGGGCAAGUCUGGUGUCAGCCGCCGCGGUAAUACCAGCACCCCGAGUGGUCGGGACGAUUAUUGGGCCUGAAGCAUCCGUAGCCGGUUCUACAAGUCUUCCGUUAAAUCCACCUGCUCAACAGAUGGGCUGCGGAAGAUACUAUGGAGCUAGGAGGCGGGAGAGGCAAGCGGUACUCGAUGGGUAGGGGUAAAAUCCGUUGAUCCAUUGAAGACCACCAGUGGCGAAGGCGGCUUGCCAGAACGCGCUCGACGGUGAGGGAUGAAGGCUGGGGGAGCAAACCGGAUUAGAUACCCGGGUAGUCCCAGCUGUAAACGAUGCAGACUCGGUGAUGAGUUGGCUUUAUGCCAACUCAGUGCCGCAGGGAAGCCGUUAAGUUUGCCGCCUGGGGAGUACGGUCGCAAGACUGAAACUUAAAGAAUCACU